Molecule: long non-coding RNA, 319 nt
Organism: Neofelis nebulosa (Clouded leopard)
Lineage: Eukaryota; Metazoa; Chordata; Mammalia; Carnivora; Felidae
Exons: 3
Source: RefSeq, a predicted model, not a curated record
UUUAAUUUUUCAGUUUCUUAAGAAGUGCUUCAAAAAUACCCAUGUAAAUACAUUUUCUGAAGGAGGAGAGCCACAGGAAACCAGGAAUAAAUGCCUCAUUCAUUCUAUAGAAAACUUGCUGACUUUUGCAGAAAACUUUACAUUCAUGAGCCGAUAAUGACCCUUUCCAGUCACCUGCAAAGUCCUCUAAUGUAAUCACAAACUCAUCAAGGUACAAGUUAAAUCAUGUAAUAGACAUUGCCCCAGAUACUACACGUCUGUUGGAUCACCAGGGGAGAACUCCAAACAUUAACAGGCUAAGAAAUGUCCCCCAAAGAUG